Molecule: unclassified non-coding RNA, 342 nt
Filed under: soil metagenome
Description: partial contains 5.8S ribosomal RNA, internal transcribed spacer 2, and large subunit ribosomal RNA
Rfam family: 5.8S ribosomal RNA (bases 1-120)
Source: RNAcentral
GAUGAAGAACGCAGCGAAAUGCGAUAAGUAAUGUGAAUUGCAGAAUUCAGUGAAUCAUCGAAUCUUUGAACGCUCAUUGCGGCCGCUAGUAUUCUGGCGGGCAUGCCUGUCCGAGCGUCAUUUCAACCCUCAAGCCCCCGGGCUUGGUGUUGGGGAUCGGCGAGCCUCCGCGCCCGCCGUCCCCUAAAUCUAGUGGCGGUCUCGCUGUAGCUUCCUCUGCGUAGUAGCACACCUCGGACUGGGAAACAGCGCGGCCACGCCGUUAAACCCCCAACUUCUGAACGUUUGACCUCGGAUCAGGUAGGAAUACCCGCUGAACUUAAGCAUAUCAAUAAGCGGAGG